RNAcentral lists this ribosomal RNA (294 nucleotides) under uncultured bacterium. RNAcentral's name for it is "partial 16S ribosomal RNA". It matches the Rfam family "Bacterial small subunit ribosomal RNA", at positions 337 to 631 of the family's 1533-position model. The record is from RNAcentral.
UCCUAGGGACGCAGCAGUGGGGAAUAUUGCACAAUGGGCGCAAGCCUGAUGCAGCGACGCCGCGUGCGGGAUGGAGGCCUUCGGGUUGUAAACCGCUUUUGUUCAAGGGCAAGGCACGGUCUUUGGCCGUGUUGAGUGGAUUGUUCGAAUAAGCACCGGCUAACUACGUGCCAGCAGCCGCGGUAAUACGUAGGGUGCAAGCGUUAUCCGGAUUUAUUGGGCGUAAAGGGCUCGUAGGCGGUUCGUCGCGUCCGGCGUGAGAGUCCAUCGCUUAACGUUGGAUCCGCGCCGGGU